RNAcentral lists this long non-coding RNA (885 nucleotides) under Homo sapiens (human). RNAcentral describes it as "HSALNT0103949". Lineage: Eukaryota; Metazoa; Chordata; Mammalia; Primates; Hominidae. The record is from RNAcentral.
GAACGACCGAGUUUCUCUCAGCCGAGAACUGUGGCUGCCCCUCCGGUGAAAACAGAGGAAGUGGGAGCGGCAGGAAGCGCUUUGGGACCAGGGCGACCCCUGAAGCGUAGAGGAACCAGGUCACAAGCAUACGUGAAUGCUCACAUUCCAUAGUUAUCAAAUGUAUUCAGGUUUAAAUUUUACUUUUCUAGAAAAAAUGUAAAUAAUCCGUUGAGAAUAUUUAAUGAAAAAUGUUGGUCGUAUCUUUAUCUGGUCUGCGGCUCUGUCCCUGUUUCCUGGAUAGGAGACUACGUCUGUAUCUUGUAUCACAGGAGGCACCUUCUUCCUGUUUCCUGGCACAGACUUGAAAUCUUAGUGCUCCUCACUCUUUGCGUCUACGCUGCUUUUAUGAACUGUUAACACUCACUGUGAAGGUCUGCAGCUUCACUCCUUAAGCCAGCGAGACCACAAACCCACUGGGAGGGAUAAACAACUCCAGACGGGAGGAACAAACAACUUCGGGUGCACCACCUUUAUGAACUGUAGCACUCACUGUGAAGGUCUGCAGCUUCACUCCUGAGGCCAGCAAGACCACGAACCCACCAGAAGGAACGAACAACUCCAGAUAUGCCACCUUUAAGGGCUAUAACACUCACCGCGGAAGUCUGCAGCUUCACUCCUGAAGUCAGUGAGACCAUGAACCCACCAGAAGGAAGAAACUCUGGACACAUCUGAACAUCUGAAGGAACAAACUCUGGACACACCAUCUUUAAGAACUGUAACACUCACCGCGAGGGUACACGGCUUCAUUCUUGAAGUCAGCGAGACUAAGAACCCAACAAUUCCGGACACAGCAUGAUCUUGGUUCACUAUAUUUCUGGUCUUUAAAGACACUUGGAAAAGACA